AUGGCCCCCAAAUGCUAGUCUCCACCCCCGCCUCAAAAGAAGAAACCAAGACCACCUCCUGCUCAGGGACUGGAUGAGACAUCGGCCUCUGCAGGCUUGCCGAAGAAGGGAGAAAAAGAACAGCAAGAAGCAAUUGAACACAUUGAUGAAGUACAAAAUGAAAUAGACGGAUUUAAUGAACAAGCCAGUGAGGAGAUUUUGAAAGUAGAACAGAAAUAUAACAAACUCCGCCAACCAUUUUUUCAGAAGAGGUCAGAAUUGAUCGCCAAAAUCCCAAAUUUUUGGGUAACAACAUUUGUCAGCCAUCCACAAGUGUCUGCACUGCUUGGGGAGGAGGACGAAGAGGCACUGCAUUAUUUGACCAGAGUUGAAGUGACAGAAUUUGAAGAUAUUAAAUCAGGUUACAGAAUAGAUUUUUAUUUUGAUGAAAAUCCUUACUUUGAAAAUAAAGUUCUCUCCAAAGAAUUUCAUCUGAAUGAGAGUGGUGAUCCAUCUUCAAAGUCCACUGAAAUCAAAUGGAAAUCUGGAAAGGAUUUGACGAAACGUUCAAGUCAAACACAGAAUAAAGCCAGCAGGAAGAGGCAGCAUGAGGAACCAGAGAAGAGCUUCUUUACCUGGUUUACUGACCAUUCUGAUGCAGGUGCUGAUGAGUUAGGAGAGGUCAUCAAAGAUGAUAUUUGGCCAAACCCAUUACAAUACUACUUGGUUCCUGAUAUGGAUGAUGAAGAAGGAGAAGGAGAAGAAGAUCAUGAUGAUGAAGAGGAGGAAGGAUUAGAAGAUAUUGAUGAAGAAGGGGAUGAGGAUGAAAGUGAAGAAGAUGAAGAUGAUGGGGAGGAAGGAGAGGAGGAUGAAGGAGAAGAUGACUAAUAGAACACUGAUGGAUUCCAACCUUCCUUUUUUAAAAUUUUCUCCAGUCCCUGGGAGCAAGUUGCAGUCUUUUUUUUUUUCCUUCCCUCUCGUGCUCAGUCACCCUGUUUUUGAGGUCUCUUUUCUCUACACCAUGGUUCUCAACUUAUUUUGGGGGGAAAUAUCUUGAGCAGGAUACAAUGGGAAAAGAGUCUCUACCCCUUUCUGUUUGAAAUUCAUUUUUAAUCCCUUCCUGUCUCAACAAAAACUGUAUGGAAUCAAUACCACUGAGCUCUGUGGGAAAAAAGAAAAACCUGCUCCCUUCGCUCUGCUGGAAGCUGGAGGGUGCUAGGCCCCUGUGUAGAAGUGCAUAGAAUUCUAGCUUUUUUCCUCCUUUCUCUGUAUAUUGGGCUCAGAGAGUACACUGUGUCUCUAUGUGAAUAUGGACAGUUAGCAUUUACCAACAUGUAUCUGUCUACUUUCUCUUGUUUAAAAAAAAGAAAAAAAACUUAAAAUGGGGUUAUAGAAGGUCAGCAAAGGGUGGGUUUGAGAUGUCUGGGUGGGGUAAGUGGGCAUUUUGACAACAUGGCUUCUCCUUUGGCAUGUUUAAUUGUGACAUUUGACAGACAUCCUUGCAGUUUAAGAUGACACUUUUAAAAUAAAUUCUCUCCUAAUGAUGA
Callithrix jacchus (white-tufted-ear marmoset) is the source of this 1526-nucleotide non-coding RNA. Lineage: Eukaryota; Metazoa; Chordata; Mammalia; Primates; Cebidae. The record is from RefSeq and is a predicted model, not a curated record.